UCAGGCCUAACACAUGCAAGUCGAGCGAGGACUUCGGUCCUAGCGGCGGACGGGUGAGUAACGCGUGGGAACGUGCCCCUUGGUACGGAAUAGCCCCGGGAAACUGGGAGUAAUACCGUAUGAGCUCUACGGAGGAAAGAUUUAUCGCCAAGGGAUCGGCCCGCGUUGGAUUAGGUAGUUGGUGGGGUAAUGGCCUACCAAGCCGACGAUCCAUAGCUGGUUUGAGAGGAUGAUCAGCCACACUGGGACUGAGACACGGCCCAGACUCCUACGGGAGGCAGCAGUGGGGAAUCUUAGAAGAUGGGCGCAAGCCUGAUCUAGCCAUGCCGCG
RNAcentral lists this ribosomal RNA (331 nucleotides) under uncultured bacterium. Its description in RNAcentral is "bacterial SSU rRNA". It matches the Rfam family "Bacterial small subunit ribosomal RNA", at positions 42 to 401 of the family's 1533-position model. The record is from RNAcentral.